RNAcentral lists this transfer RNA (75 nucleotides) under Vibrio parahaemolyticus. RNAcentral's name for it is "tRNA-Val". It matches the Rfam family "tRNA". From Rfam's summary of the family: Transfer RNA (tRNA) molecules are approximately 80 nucleotides in length. Their secondary structure includes four short double-helical elements and three loops (D, anti-codon, and T loops). Further hydrogen bonds mediate the characteristic L-shaped molecular structure. tRNAs have two regions of fundamental functional importance: the anti-codon, which is responsible for specific mRNA codon recognition, and the 3' end, to which the tRNAs corresponding amino acid is attached (by aminoacyl-tRNA synthetases). tRNAs cope with the degeneracy of the genetic code in two manners: having more than one tRNA (with a specific anti-codon) for a particular amino acid; and 'wobble' base-pairing, i.e. permitting non-standard base-pairing at the 3rd anti-codon position. Lineage: Bacteria; Pseudomonadati; Pseudomonadota; Gammaproteobacteria; Vibrionales; Vibrionaceae. The record is from RNAcentral. RNAcentral also lists the same sequence under 1 other name.
GCUUCAGUAACUCAGGGGGAGAGUGUUUGCCUUACAAGCAAAUGGUCGUUGGUUCGAAACCAACCUGAAGCACCA